GCUGGGUGUGGUGGCACCUACCUGUAGUCCUAGCUACUCAGGAAGCUGAGGUGGGAGGAUCGCUUGAGCCCGGGAGUUUGAGGCUGCCGUGAGCUAUGAUUGCGCCACUGCACUCUAGCCUGGGCAGCAGAGCAAGACCCUAUCUCUU
This is an unclassified non-coding RNA of Pongo abelii (Sumatran orangutan), 148 nucleotides long. It matches the Rfam family "Metazoan signal recognition particle RNA". Rfam says of the family: The signal recognition particle (SRP) is a universally conserved ribonucleoprotein. It is involved in the co-translational targeting of proteins to membranes. The record is from Ensembl. NCBI's taxonomy places the organism in Eukaryota, Metazoa, Chordata, Mammalia, Primates, Hominidae.